This 400-nucleotide unclassified non-coding RNA is filed under the name soil metagenome. RNAcentral's name for it is "partial contains 5.8S ribosomal RNA, internal transcribed spacer 2, and large subunit ribosomal RNA". The stretch from base 1 to 122 matches the Rfam family "5.8S ribosomal RNA", at positions 35 to 154 of the family's 154-position model. The record is from RNAcentral.
GAUGAAGAACGUAGCGAAAUGCGAUACUUGGUGUGAAUUGCAGAAUCCCGUGAACCAUCGAGUUUUUGAACGCAAGUUGCGCCUCAAGCCAUUAGGUUGAGGGCACGUCUGCCUGGGCGUCACAUAUCGUUGCCUGAUGCCAGUUUCCUCGUGAUGGGUGACUGUGCAGGGCGAAUGAUGGCUUCCCGUGAGCAUUGUUGCCUCAUGGUUGGUUGAAAAUUGAGUCCUUGGUAGGGAGCGCCGUGAUAGAUGGUGGUUGAGUGACGAACGAGACCCAAUCAUGUGAGACCCAUACCGAAUUUGGCCUUCAUGACCAACAUGCGUCUUUGGAACGCUCAUGACGAGACCUCAGGUCAGGCGGGGCUACCCGCUGAGUUUAAGCAUAUCAAUAAGCGGAGGA